RNAcentral lists this ribosomal RNA (549 nucleotides) under uncultured bacterium. RNAcentral describes it as "bacterial SSU rRNA". It matches the Rfam family "Bacterial small subunit ribosomal RNA", at positions 28 to 585 of the family's 1533-position model. The record is from RNAcentral.
GACGAACGCUGGCGGCGUGCUUAACACAUGCAAGUCGUGGGGNGGUAGCAAUACCUCACCGGCGAACGGGUGCGUAACACGUGAGCAACAUUCCGAUUUCUGGGGGAUAGCCGGCCCAACGGCCGGGUAAUACCGCAUACGCUCAUCGAGAGGAGUCUCUUGGUGAGGAAACCUCCGGGGGGAAAUCGAGUGGCUCGCGGCCUAUCAGCUAGUUGGCGGGGUAAUGGCCCACCAAGGCGAUGACGGGUAGCUGGUCUGAGAGGAUGGCCAGCCACAUUGGGACUGAGAAACGGCCCAGACUCCUACGGGAGGCAGCAGUGGGGAAUCUUGCGCAAUGGACGAAAGUCUGACGCAGCGACGCCGCGUGCGGGAGGAAGCUCUUCGGGGUGUAAACCGCUGUUGCCGGGAACGAAACUCUGGAUUUCGUCCAGAUUGACGGUACUCGGUGAGGAAGCGCCGGCUAACUCUGUGCCAGCAGCCGCGGUAAUACAGAGGGCGCGAGCGUUGUCCGGAAUCACUGGGCGUAAAGGGCGCGUAGGUGGCCACUAU